AGCGAACGCUGGCGGCAGGCCUAACACAUGCAAGUCGAACGAACCUUUCGGGGUUAGUGGCGGACGGGUGAGUAACACGUGGGAACGUGCCUUUAGGUUCGGAAUAACUCAGGGAAACUUGUGCUAAUACCGAAUGUGCCCUUCGGGGGAAAGAUUAAUCGCCUUUAGAGCGGCCCGCGUCUGAUUAGCUAGUUGGUUGAGGUAAUGGCUCACCAAGGCGACGAUCAGUAGCUGGUCUGAGAGGAUGAUCAGCCACAUUGGGACUGAGACACGGCCCAAACUCCUACGGGAGGCAGCAGUGGGGAAUCUUGGGCAAUGGGCGAAAGCCUGACGCAGCCAUGCCGGGGGAAUGAUGAAGGGUUUAGGAUUGUAAAAUUCUUUCCCCGGGGACGAUAAUGGCGGUACCCGGAGAAGAAGCCCCGGCUAACUUCGU
RNAcentral lists this ribosomal RNA (433 nucleotides) under uncultured bacterium. RNAcentral describes it as "partial 16S ribosomal RNA". It matches the Rfam family "Bacterial small subunit ribosomal RNA", at positions 29 to 506 of the family's 1533-position model. The record is from RNAcentral.